GACGAACGCUGGCGGCGUGCUUAACACAUGCAAGUCGAACGGAAAGGCCCUGCUUUUGUGGGGUGCUCGAGUGGCGAACGGGUGAGUAACACGUGAGUAACCUGCCCUUGACUUUGGGAUAACUUCAGGAAACUGGGGCUAAUACCGGCUAGGAGCUCCUGCUGCAUGGUGGGGGUUGGAAAGUUUCGGCGGUUGGGGAUGGACUCGCGGCUUAUCAGCUUGUUGGUGGGGUAGUGGCUUACCAAGGCUUUGACGGGUAGCCGGCCUGAGAGGGUGACCGGCCACAUUGGGACGGAGAUACGGCCCAGACUCCUACGGGAGGCAGCAGUGGGGAAUAUUGCACAAUGGGCGGAAGCCUGAUGCAGCAACGCCGCGUGCGGGAUGACGGCCUUCGGGUUGUAAACCGCUUUCGCCUGUGACGAAGCGUGAGUGACGGUAAUGGGUAAAGAAGCACCGGCUAACUACGUG
This 468-nucleotide ribosomal RNA is filed under the name uncultured bacterium. RNAcentral describes it as "partial 16S ribosomal RNA". It matches the Rfam family "Bacterial small subunit ribosomal RNA", at positions 28 to 507 of the family's 1533-position model. The record is from RNAcentral.